Molecule: ribosomal RNA, 301 nt
Filed under: uncultured bacterium
Lineage: Bacteria
Description: partial 16S ribosomal RNA
Rfam family: Bacterial small subunit ribosomal RNA
Source: RNAcentral
CAGUCGCCGCGGGAAUACAGAGGAUGCAAGCGUUAUCCGGAAUUAUUGGGCGUAAAGCGCGCGCAGGUGGUUUAAUAAGUCUGAUGUGAAAGCCCACGGCUCAACCGUGGAGGGUCAUUGGAAACUGUUAAACUUGAGUGCAGGAGAGAAAAGUGGAAUUCCUAGUGUAGCGGUGAAAUGCGUAGAGAUUAGGAGGAACACCAGUGGCGAAGGCGGCUUUUUGGCCUGUAACUGACACUGAGGCGCGAAAGCGUGGGGAGCAAACAGGAUUAGAUACCCCUGUAGUCCCUGUCUCUUAUAC